This 1341-nucleotide long non-coding RNA is filed under the name Zostera marina. RNAcentral's name for it is "long non-coding RNA (ZMAR_LNC005888)". The record is from RNAcentral. Lineage: Eukaryota; Viridiplantae; Streptophyta; Magnoliopsida; Alismatales; Zosteraceae.
UUUGAAAUUACCAAGGUGAUCGUAUUAGUAUGAUGUAUUCAACAAUCUCUCAAGUAUGAAAUGUAUCUCCCUCCUUUUACACUUCACCCCUAAGGGUAUUUAUACAGUUUCCUACUGAUUUUCGGACCUAGAUCCGACGGAUCCAACAAGUCUGGGAUGCAACCAUUGGGGAUAUAACUACUCGGCCCGAUUGACCCGUCCGGAUUAAAACCUGUCGGGCGGCCUGAGUCUUUCUCUUUUAUUCACUCUACUAGACCUCAAUUCUGGGCUCUCGGUCUGGGCUGAUGGGCUUUUUCCUUUCAAAAUGAAAAUAGAAUGUAAAUAUUCAAUAUGGUGGUUUGAAAUAAAAUCAGGACUUUGACGUCCACCUUCGGUCAAUACAAUGCCAUGGAGUCCAAAACCACGUCCAAAGAUAAGAUUAAGGAACAUGUGCUUUACACCUUCAAAAUUUGAACUCUCAAAUUUACCGUUGAUCUGGGGAAGAAAAAGUAAACACGCAAUCUAAAACCGUGGGCACCGUCAAACUACCCACUACAAAAAUAAGAAAAGCAACACCCAACACCGCCGGCACAGUAUUCUGGGACCCAUUGCUAUCGUACUGUUCUUAUCCAAACCCAGAGGCUCAAGGCAAAACCCAACCCGAACCAUUUUUCCAGCGCUGCCUAUAAAGCAACAAGCACCGGUGCGGUCAAGAAAGCAGUUAACAAAUAUCCAUCCAGUUUGAGACUUUGAGUUGCAUACAUACGGAUAUACGAUGGCAGACGUGGCCUUGUUGGUUGUUGAGCAAUUCGAGAGGAGGAGGAAGUUGACUGAAGAAGAUGGGAUCGAGGCUAUGAACAGAAUGGCUUGCAGGUGCGUUUCGUACAUGGGGAAAAAGGUGGAGGAGGGUGUUGUUUUGCUCAGGGAUGAGGCUGUGGUUGCAAAGAAAGCUCUUUCUACUCAUCAUUAUCCUCAGACUUCUGCUGGACUCGCCUUGUUUGAUGGCGUUUUCUCUGCUUGAUUCAUUUAGAAAAUCGUUGAUCAUGGGUUGUUUUUUAGAAAAUCGAUUAGUUCGUGCGUGAUUUGCAUAUGUAUAUUUUCUCACUUGACCAUUAAAAAAAAUCCACUGUCAUUUUUGAUAAGUUGCCUAGUUCCGUCCGGCCGUCUUUAAAUCCCCUAAUGGAGCAGCUUACCUAACAAAUAGCAACUCAGUAAAAAAAUGAUAAAGAAAACCUUACCUUAUUGGAUUUCGAUUUUGCCAACCGACACACAAGUUGUAACAAUCUGAUUGUUUUAAUUGAAUCUAGUUUAAGGUGAAUGGUGUUUUGAAAGCAGUAUCAAAAUAAUUUAUACAGUCUUAAA